GCCUGGCUGGCUCAGUCAGAAGAGCGUGCGACUCUCGGUCUCAGGGUCGUGGGUUCGAGCCCCACACUGGGCA
Non-coding RNA from Prionailurus viverrinus (fishing cat), 73 nucleotides. The record is from the annotation of a RefSeq genome assembly. NCBI's taxonomy places the organism in Eukaryota, Metazoa, Chordata, Mammalia, Carnivora, Felidae.